GACCUGGAGGACUAUUGGUUAGGCCUCGGUGCUCUCACUGCCGUGGCCUGGGUUCGAUUCCCUGCCAGGGAA
This 72-nucleotide transfer RNA is filed under the name Pangasianodon gigas (Mekong giant catfish). RNAcentral's name for it is "tRNA-Glu". Lineage: Eukaryota; Metazoa; Chordata; Actinopteri; Siluriformes; Pangasiidae. RNAcentral also lists the same sequence under 1 other name. The record is from RNAcentral.